UCGAACGGUAGCACGAAGGAGCUUGCUCCUUGGGUGACGAGUGGCGGACGGGUGAGUAAUGCUUGGGAAUCUGGCUUAUGGAGGGGGAUAACUACGGGAAACUGUAGCUAAUACCGCGUAAUAUCUUCGGAUUAAAGUGUGGGACCGCAAGGCCACAUGCCAUGAGAUGAGCCCAAGUGGGAUUAGGUAGUUGGUGGGGUAAAGGCCUACCAAGCCGACGAUCUCUAGCUGGUCUGAGAGGAUGACCAGCCACACUGGAACUGAGACACGGUCCAGACUCCUACGGGAGGCAGCAGUGGGGAAUAUUGCACAAUGGGGGGAACCCUGAUGCAGCCAUGCCGCGUGAAUGAAGAAGGCCUUCGGGUUGUAAAGUUCUUUCGGUAGCGAGGAAGGURKYWRWUUUAAUAGAWYWRKYAAUUGACGUUAACUACAGAA
RNAcentral lists this ribosomal RNA (435 nucleotides) under Actinobacillus equuli. RNAcentral's name for it is "partial 16S ribosomal RNA". It matches the Rfam family "Bacterial small subunit ribosomal RNA", at positions 62 to 486 of the family's 1533-position model. The record is from RNAcentral. Lineage: Bacteria; Pseudomonadati; Pseudomonadota; Gammaproteobacteria; Pasteurellales; Pasteurellaceae.